RNAcentral lists this ribosomal RNA (556 nucleotides) under Solariellidae clade C sp. 3 LS-2013. Its description in RNAcentral is "partial 16S ribosomal RNA". It matches the Rfam family "Bacterial large subunit ribosomal RNA", at positions 1816 to 2597 of the family's 2925-position model. The record is from RNAcentral. Lineage: Eukaryota; Metazoa; Mollusca; Gastropoda; Trochida; Solariellidae.
CGCUCUUUGUUAGGAAAUACUGAGAUAGAGAGUCGGGCCUGCCCAGUGACAUGCGUGUUAAACGGCCGCGGUACUCUGACCGUGCAAAGGUAGCAUAAUCACUUGCCUUUUAAUUGGAGGCUUGUAUGAAUGGUUUGACGAGAGCUAAGCUGUCUCCUUUUGAAUAUUUAGAAAUUAACUUAUAGGUGAAGAGGCCUAUAUGUAUUUGAGGGACAAGAAGACCCUGUUGAGUUUGAGUGUAGCUGAAAAUUAAUUUUGUCUGAUUUUCAAUAGAUUACAGGUAAUAAGGCUGUAUGUAGUAGAGGCCGGAUUUUUUGUAAAUCUUUAGUUGGGGCGACUGAGGAGUAUAGUAAGCUUCCUUUAGAUGUGUUAUGGUUGUCGGGCUAGUUUGAUCCAGUAUUUUAUUGAUCAAAGGAAAAAAUUACCACAGGGAUAACAGCGUAAUCUUUUUGGAGAGUUCUUAUCGAAGAAAGGGUUUGCGACCUCGAUGUUGGACUAAGAUAUCCCGGGGGUGUAGAAGCUCCUGAGGGUUGGUCUGUUCGACCAUUAAAAUCUU